AAGCCGAAUGAUAGUCAUCAGGCUGAUGGGCCGUUAUAGGUCUUUGGUGAGAGUCACGACUGGGAGGCUGCCAACCCAAUGAUGAUAAUCAGGGCGAUUAGGGGGGUUCGAACUCAAUACAAGGAUCAUGGGACGACGUAGGGUCUUGGUCAGACUUGACGUGUAUGUAUGAAACAAGUGCCUGGUCCUGUGUGUACGCUUCAAGCUGGCUGUCGCGUUGUAAUCUGAGUGGAAGGUCUAGUACAUCGUAAUUAAACCUCACCGGCCACUUCACCCUGUUAACUGAAGCAGAGGAAAAUCCACGUCCGGCGAAAGUAGAAGUAAUGCAUUGCAUGUGCGUGUUGGAGACAAUCCAAACAACUGUCCUAACAAUCAUAGACAUUUGGACAUGACGGAUGCCUGGGCAUGUGUGUGGUUUGUCCUUUGUGUAGCUGUUCUGGGGACGAUAUUCCGCAGGGUCGUUGCUGUCACAUCCAGGGACCCCAAAGUGUCGCGGACUGUCUCAGUGUACACGAGCUGCCUGGGGGAUUCUAAUGAAUGCCAGCGUCCAGUGUCUGAGACGAGGCGCGUUAUUCACGAUGGUCGUUGCUGCAGUGAAAACAUCACCACAAUUAAUGAAAUCUUGAAUUGUCAAAACGAGCGAUUAAAGUCUGUGUACGGUACCAAUUCGCUUCUGAUAAAGGAACAUGAGCGGUACAGGAAAAGACGCGGGAAAAUGACAGAUGUGAAGUCAGACGACAAUAGCCCAGACGAGAAGGUCACGAGAGCAGACGACAAACUGGAAGAGAGUGCUGGCGUUACUACUACAGACAUUGGUGUCAGUGGACACCUUCUAGACACCAGCAUGUACAUCACAUAUCAUGAUAACUCGGGGGAGAAAAGACAAGAGAAAAUUACAGUAACGGAGUCUCAAUAGUGACGUCAUGUCUGUCUCACAACUAUACAAGUUCACGUAGAGAGAGAGGGUGCAUCAAAAAAUGACUGACAACGUGUGUAUCUUACAAUGUCGAUGAAUAUGUCAGAAUGGG
This is a long non-coding RNA of Haliotis rufescens (red abalone), 1028 nucleotides long. RefSeq lists it as uncharacterized. The record is from RefSeq and is a predicted model, not a curated record. Lineage: Eukaryota; Metazoa; Mollusca; Gastropoda; Lepetellida; Haliotidae. The transcript has 3 exons.